Molecule: long non-coding RNA, 383 nt
Organism: Notolabrus celidotus (New Zealand spotty)
Lineage: Eukaryota; Metazoa; Chordata; Actinopteri; Labriformes; Labridae
Exons: 2
Source: RefSeq, a predicted model, not a curated record
UGGGAUUUCACACAACGCAGACCGUCCAGGCACCUCUUGGAGCGUUCAUCAAGCCGGAAGAACACUCAACAAGAACGGGACCGCCCUCAUUCAUUCAGCCAAUCAGAGAAGAGAACAGCAGAUCAUUGACCAAUGGGAGUGCGGAAAAUGUUUUGACCAACCUUAACUGGCACAAGGGAUGGGGGAGGAAGCCCGACGGACGGAACACUACGAGCUGCAACAUUACAAUCACGUGGUCCACGGAAAGAGCCGAACCAGAGCUGGAGUCUUCGGGCUGCACCGGCACAAUGAUUUCACACAGAGAAGUCUUGGGAAGUGGUUGGAAAAGUUACAGGAUCCUUUUAAGAAAAUAAAAGAAAUAAAUAAAUGCUUUCUGUAUUACG